This 306-nucleotide unclassified non-coding RNA is filed under the name uncultured fungus. RNAcentral describes it as "partial contains 5.8S ribosomal RNA, internal transcribed spacer 2, and large subunit ribosomal RNA". The stretch from base 1 to 52 matches the Rfam family "5.8S ribosomal RNA", at positions 103 to 154 of the family's 154-position model. Lineage: Eukaryota; Fungi. The record is from RNAcentral.
AACGCACCUUGCGCUCCUUGGUAUUCCGAGGAGCAUGCCUGUUUGAGUGUCUUGAAGUUAUCAACCCCCUCCUGUUUUCGAACGGGGAGUGGGCUGGACUUGGGGGCAUGCAGAACGUGAGUCUGCUCCCCUCAAACGCUUCGGCGUUGGGCCUGCGGGUCGAACUCGGUUGGGCGUUGUACGCACCUCGCUCUAGUCCGAGACGUUCCCCUACUAUCGUGCCCCGCCCCGACUGCCUAACGAGCGGCAGUCAAGCACACCUUGACAUCUGACCUCAAAUCAGGUAGGACUACCCGCUGAACUUAA